This is a long non-coding RNA of Catharus ustulatus (Swainson's thrush), 262 nucleotides long. RefSeq lists it as uncharacterized. NCBI's taxonomy places the organism in Eukaryota, Metazoa, Chordata, Aves, Passeriformes, Turdidae. The transcript has 3 exons. The record is from RefSeq and is a predicted model, not a curated record.
UGGCGCUGGCCCCGCCCCCAACGAGAGGGGGGGUGGCACGGAACGUGGUUCACCUGCUGGCAGCGGGGGGGGCCCCUCACCUGCCCGGGCCCCUGGCCCAGGUGACCCUGCUGGCCCCCGUGGGGGGAGGGGCGGCCACGCCCACCCAGAAUCAACCCGGCCUGGGGCUGCCCCUGGGCACAGUCCCCGCCCCCCUGGUGAACUCCGGGGGGGGUCUGGUGAAAAUCCUGGUGCGCCAGAACCCCCCCCCUGCCCCUCCCCC